RNAcentral lists this ribosomal RNA (1237 nucleotides) under metagenome. RNAcentral describes it as "bacterial LSU rRNA". It matches the Rfam family "Bacterial large subunit ribosomal RNA", at positions 1564 to 2810 of the family's 2925-position model. The record is from RNAcentral.
UGAAUACGAGACGCUAAGGCGUCGAAGUAGUGUAUGUCAUACUUCCAAGAAAAGCUUGCACUGUCAUAAGUAAAAAAUGCCUGUACCAUAACCGACACAGGUGGGUAGGUAGAGUAUACUAAGGGGCGCGAGAUAACUCUCUCUAAGGAACUCGGCAAAAUAACUCCGUAACUUCGGGAGAAGGAGUACCUUAUUCUAUAAGGUUGCAAUAACAAGAUCCAAGCAACUGUUUAUCAAAAACACAGGUCUCCGCUAAGUCGUAAGACGAUGUAUGGGGGCUGACGCCUGCCCAGUGCCAGAAGGUUAAAGAAGUCGGUUAGCAUUAGCGAAGCUGGUAACUGAAGCCCUGGUGAACGGCGGCCGUAACAAUAACGGUCCUAAGGUAGCGAAAUUCCUUGUCGGGUAAGUUCCGACCCGCACGAAAGGCGUAAUGAUUUGGAUACUGUCUCGGAGAGGGGCUCGGUGAAAUAGACUUGUCUGUGAAGAUGCGGACUACCUGCACCAGGACAGAAAGACCCUAUGAAGCUUUACUGUAACUUGAAAUUGAAAUUGGACUUUAUUCGCGCAGUAUAGGUGGGAGGUGUUGAUUAUAAUCUUGCGGGAUUAUUGGAGCCAUCAGUGAGAUACCACUCUUGUAAUGUUAGAUUUCUAACUUUGAAUCAUUAUCUGGUCAAAGGACAGUUUCAGGCGGGCAGUUUGACUGGGGCGGUCGCCUCCCAAACGGUAACGGAGGCGUACAAAGGUUUCCUCUGAACGGGUAGAAAUCGUAUCUAGAGUGUAAAGGCAUAAGCAAGCUUGACUGUGAGACCUACAAGUCGAACAGGGACGAAAGUCGGUCUUAGUGAUCUGACGGUACUGAGUGGAAAGGCCGUCACUCAACGGAUAAAAGUUACUCUAGGAUAACAGGCUGAUCUCCCCCAAGAGUUCACAUCGACGGGGAGGUUUGGCACCUCGAUGUCGGCUCAUCGCAUCCUGGGGCGGUAGUACGUCCCAAGGGUUGGGCUGUUCGCCCAUGAAAGCGGUACGCGAGCUGGGUUCAGAACGUCGUGAGACAGUUCGGUCCAUAUCCGGUGUAGGCGUUAGAAUAUUGAGAGGAGCCUUCUUUAGUACGAGAGGACCGAGAAGGACAUACCUCUGGUGUACCAGUUAUCGUGCCAACGGUAAACGCUGGGUAGCUAUGUAUGGAGUGGAUAACCGCUGAAAGCAUCUAAGUGGGAAGCCCACCUCAAGAUAAGUA